Molecule: non-coding RNA, 45 nt
Organism: Pan troglodytes (chimpanzee)
Lineage: Eukaryota; Metazoa; Chordata; Mammalia; Primates; Hominidae
Source: Rfam
CUAAAGGCUCUUUUCAGAGCCAUCAUGUUCCCUGGGAGGUGGCAG